GAUGAACGCUGGCGGCGUGCCUAAUACAUGCAAGUCGAGCGAACGGACGAGAAGCUUGCUUCUCUGAUGUUAGCGGCGGACGGGUGAGUAACACGUGGAUAACCUACCUAUAAGACUGGGAUAACUUCGGGAAACCGGAGCUAAUACCGGAUGAUAUUUUGAACCGCAUGGUUCAAAGGUGAAAGACGGUCUUGCUGUCACUUAUAGAUGGAUCCGCGCUGCAUUAGCUAGUUGGUAAGGUAACGGCUUACCAAGGCAACGAUGCAUAGCCGACCUGAGAGGGUGAUCGGCCACACUGGAACUGAGACACGGUCCAGACUCCUACGGGAGGCAGCAGUAGGGAAUCUUCCGCAAUGGGCGAAAGCCUGACGGAGCAACGCCGCGUGAGUGAUGAAGGUCUUCGGAUCGUAAAACUCUGUUAUUAGGGAAGAACAUAUGUGUAAGUAACUGCGCACAUCUUGACGGUACCUAAUCAGAAAGCCACGGCUAACUACGUG
This 497-nucleotide ribosomal RNA is filed under the name uncultured bacterium. RNAcentral describes it as "partial 16S ribosomal RNA". It matches the Rfam family "Bacterial small subunit ribosomal RNA", at positions 28 to 507 of the family's 1533-position model. The record is from RNAcentral.